Molecule: ribosomal RNA, 322 nt
Filed under: uncultured eukaryote
Lineage: Eukaryota
Description: partial 18S ribosomal RNA
Rfam family: Eukaryotic small subunit ribosomal RNA
Source: RNAcentral
CCCUUAGAUGUUCUGGGCCGCACGCGUGCUACACUGAGUAAUUCAAUGGGUAAGGGAACGCUAGAGCAUUACCUAAUCUUGAAAUUUGCUCGUGAUGGGGAUCGACGGUUGCAAUUUUCCGUCGUGAACGAGGAAUACCUUGUAGGCGCAUGUCAUCAUCAUGCGCCGAAUACGUCCCUGCCCUUUGUACACACCGCCAGUCGCUCCUACCGAUUGAGUGAUCCGGUGAGGCUCUGGGACCUGGACGGAAAGAGCGUUUCGCUUGUUCUGUUUGGGAAACUUGGUCGAACCUUAUCAUUUAGAGGAAGGAGAAGUCGUAACA